RNAcentral lists this ribosomal RNA (776 nucleotides) under uncultured Neocallimastigales. RNAcentral's name for it is "partial large subunit ribosomal RNA". It matches the Rfam family "Eukaryotic large subunit ribosomal RNA", at positions 24 to 645 of the family's 3401-position model. Lineage: Eukaryota; Fungi; Neocallimastigomycota; Neocallimastigomycetes; Neocallimastigales. The record is from RNAcentral.
GUAGUCUCGCACAGAUGCAUAUCAAUAAGCGGAGGAAAAGAAACUAACAAGGAUUCCCCUAGUAACGGCGAGUGAAGCGGGAAGAGCUCAAAUUUGAAAUCUUAAAGGGUUUCCCUUUACGAAUUGUAGUUUAAAGAAGUGUUUUCUGUUGAGGUUUUGGUAAAAGUUCUUUGGAAUAGGGCAUCAUAGAGGGUGAGAAUCCCGUAUUUGACCUUUACUUUCAACUUUGUGAUACACUUUCAAAGAGUCGGAUUGUUUGGGAAUGCAGUCCAAAAUGGGUGGUAAAUUUCAUCUAAAGCUAAAUAUUGGCGAGAGACCGAUAGCGAACAAGUGCCGUGAGGGAAAGAUGAAAAGAACUUUGAAAAGAGAGUUAAACAGUACGUGAAAUUGUCAAAAGGGAAGCGUUUGGACACCAGUGUUGUUUUUCUGAAAAUCAAUUAAAGAACUGUUUAUGCUAAGUUGUUUAGACUUUAUCAGCUAAUCUGCUUAGUUUUGAGCUUUUCUCUAAUGCACUUUUCAGUUAACAAGUCAACAUCAAUUUCUUUUGCUGUAAAAAAGCUUGAGGAAGGUGGCUUGAGAUUCGUCUUAAGUGUUUAUAGCCUCUUGCCUAUGCAGUCGGAGAGAUUGAGGUCUGCAGCGUAGAUCCUUCGGGGCUAAAUGCAUUUGUGCUAAGUUAUAGCAUUUUAUAGACAACUUGUCGACUAUGAUUUGUCUUGUAGCUUACUCGCUUAUGUUAUUUUACCUACGCUUAGGAUGUUGACGCAUGAGAUAUACGC